Gallus gallus (chicken) is the source of this 13050-nucleotide long non-coding RNA. Lineage: Eukaryota; Metazoa; Chordata; Aves; Galliformes; Phasianidae. The record is from Ensembl.
CUCUUCCCGCCCCCUCCCUCGCGGAGUGUGAUUGUUUUGUCUGGAAAAAAACCCAAAGUAUAACAAGGGGAGAACAGUUAGUGCUGAUUUCCAUUUGCAUAAAUUUUCAUAUAUUUUGGUGAAAAUAAUAGACGGGCGGAGAGCGGGGCUCGGCGGAGUCAGUGCGAGGGAAAUGCGGAGCGGGGAGAGCCGUGCCGGAGCCGAGAAGGCGCGCUGUGCCCCCGUCACCCCAUUAAAACCCCAAAUGAACGCCCAACCGCAUCUCCUCGGUGCUGGGAGUGCGCUCGGCCCACUCUGUUCUCCAGCCUCGUUACAUGGGUUUCUGUCUCUCCUCAGCAUCCCCUUGAAUGGCAUCUACUGCACGUGCUAUGUGACAGAUCCAAACAAACAACAGAGGGGAAAGAGCCUCGCUUAACUGAUUAGAGGAGAGAAGCAGUGAAAGGGAAUAUGCACAAAGCGCUGCCAAGUUCACAGAGCAAAGGAUAAGACAAAAAAUAGAAUCAUUUCACUAUUUUUUUUUCUUUAUUUAGAGCGAUGUGAGGUAUUGCUUAUAAUAACAGCAGGGAAAUAAUUUUCAGACAAAAAUGUGACUUCUUAAUCAAGGGUCUCUAAUUCAAAAUAUAUUUAUUUAAUAAACAGUAAUUAUGAUAGCUGCAACUACUCAUUCAUAUCAAUAAUUCAUUCAGAAGUAAACCAUAUCAACAUAUUAGCAUUUAUUUUUCCUUUUAAUCGGCUGUGAUUUAAAAUAAAUGUAAAUCGUCAUAAUCAUUCAGCUCCAUAUGCUGGGAGAGGAAAAGUCACCUUAAACCAGAUGCAUAUUUUGAGAAAAAGAGAAGACGAGUUGUUCUAAGGAAACAACGUAUGGGGGCAGAUCUUAAGCUGGGGUAAAGAUGGGCUGCCCUCUGGAAGUCAACUUAGCUCUGAUGAUUGACACCAGCCAAAACCAGUCAGCAGUUUUAAGACCUGGAGUUUUUAGGGAGUUUUCUGUGGAUCCAUGUAUUGAUUUCCUUCUGUAAGUAAAGAGAUAAGUACAGUUUCUUCCAGUUUUAAUCAGGAAAAGGCAGUAUACACGAUUAACAAAAUUCCAACUUGAAGAUUUUUAUGUGUGGAAACAAUAGGCUGCUUUGCCUGAGUUGUAGGCCUGUGCUGCUUGUGUGAGUGUGUAUAUGUGUGGAGCUGCAUGUAUUAUUUCCCAUCCCCGUUUAGUUAGCCAAACCCUCUCCCAACUUUUACCUUUAACAACCCACCUCAUUUUGACAUCUCUUUUUAAUCUCCUGAACCCAUUAGCUCUUGUUGAAAUUACUUCUUUAUGCCCCUGGUUCAAGAUCCAGACAGCACUGUUUUGAUGCUGUGGAGCAUGACUCCAAGUGUUAGAAAACUGGUUUUUUUGCUUCAGACACAGGGAAGAAGUGAUCAAGGGCUAGGGUCCCAGCCAGUAUGUGCUACUGCUGUUAGACACUCAGUGCAUAUCUUACAGCAACAGCUCUUUCCCUUUUGCUUUCAGUAGGCGAAGCCAGGGAUCAUGCCUGGGAGAUUAAUGUGAUGAGGAUGAGCCUGCGAAGCCUUUGGUCCUCCUUGUGUGAGCCUGCUCUGCUUGCUCAUACACAGCACACCUUUGGGAACUCACUGCAUAAGGCCCUCUUGUACUGCCAUGAGCUAAGGGGAGCCAUUUUCCUGCUCCACGCAGGCUGCCCUGUGUUCUUGCUGGGGGAACAAGGCCACAACACCCUUCACCCUGAGUUCAACAGCAGUGCUUUCCAGGGGGUGCCUUGGGGCAGGAUGGCAUGAGUAGCUGGAAAGCCACAGCAGAGCCUAGCCCUGCGAAAAGGCAUUUUCACAGCCUCCCAGGUGAGUUUUGUUGUCCACACGACCGUGGCACACAGCUGGCUGUUCUCCUGCUUUCUUUCAAGGCUGGGCUCUCCGUGCUGCUGCCCUGCACUGGGCAUGCAGCCACCGGGCAGCCGAGCUAAAGUGAUACCUGACUUUUGUUCUUUUCCAGUCUCUGCAGUGCUAUACAUUUUUACAUUCCUCCAACAGUUUCUAAGGAGAAAAGUGAGUCACGUUGCUUAGUUUUCCCCAUCCUCAUAGAGAGGAGACAUGUUUCUUUUUUUCCCCCCACAAGUUAUUGUAUUGUUCCUCUUUAUGGUGUGGCUCUGAUUUAGUGCUGGAUGAAGCUCAAAAGGAGGAUUAGUGUAAAUCUAUUCCCAUAUGCUUGGAUGCAUUUCUGCACCCUGUCUGUACCAUCCUCACUGCUUUUGAUGGAAAAAGCUGGGCUAUAAACCUGAUGAGAACAGGCUUCCAUGCAAGAUGUUUAGUAUUUCCUGCUUCCACUUGGGCCAGUGAUACGGCACAUCCAGCCCCUUUCGGCCCUUCAUCUCUCAGUCAUGGUCUUGUCAGAAAUUCAGAAAAUCACUAUGGCAGAAAAUGAAUAGGGGAAUAAAAGGAAUCUGAUUUUUCUCCACUUUAAUAAUGGCUAGAUUUGGGUUUAGCUCCACCUUUGGCUGAAAUUUUGCUGGAGGAUGGGCACAGGUAGAAUGUUUUUAUUUGAACGGAAUUGGUUCAUCCAUCUUUUAGAUGAUGGCACUGAAGUGUGAGCCCAUUUUUAUGGUCCUCAGAGAGAAUCUGUGCUUCUUUUUAAGAGAUGCACCUUCUGGGAAAGGUAGGGCUGGCUAUAAAAGCCCUGAUUGUAUUGUAUUCAAGCAAACCGGGAGCGCAGGAGGGGAGGAACAGAGACAGCGAUAGAAGGAAGGAGAGAUUUUCCAAGUGUAUGAGAUGUGUUAUGCUUUGGUAUCACAGGCUUUGCUAUGCCUAAUGCUUGGGCAUUUUCUGGGUGGUAAUUGAAUUGCUUAAUAGCCAAACACCAGGCUGCACUGAACUCAGUCCUAAAACUGCAGCGCUAUUGCCAUUAAGGGGCUUUCUUCUUUACUCAUCAUUUUCUAAAGAAUUUCUCAAUAGUACUGCAAUCAGUCACUCAUUUUUUGCCGAUUCUCCUCUCCAUUACAAAUGUGUCUGAGUUUGUGAGGGAGAGGCUGUGUUUUCUCAACCAAAUCUCCCACUCCUUGGUUUAUUAAUAAACAAAAAUUAACUUACAGAUUUGACUGAAAAUACAGGCUCUUUCCAUACCUGUGUAGUCCACUGGAUGCAGGAGGAGUUUCAGCCAGCCUGGCAAAGGCACCUUUUCCACGUGCCCCAGCCGGGCUCCUGCAUUGCUCCCCGAGUUUCUCUUGCUCCAUACAAUGGCUGACAUUGUCUGCAAGGAGCAACUCAGAUUACGGCCCCCUCCAGAUGCGCUGCCCCUGACCCUGCUCCUGCCCCAGGCUGCCCACACUCUGCCCUCCCCGUAAGCACGGAGACUUCAGCUGAGCCGGCUGCUGCCUGGGAGUGUUGAUUCAGGUCUUGAGGGUGGCCUCGGAUGCAUUUUAACAGGCAGCGCAGGCACUCCACGGGGAUAACAUGGAAUGAUUAUUUUAGGGCAGAUUUUCCCCUAAAAAAACCCAUAGUUCUACAUGCACGCAGUUUGAUCUUCACACAAAGGAUUUAUAUAAGAACUCACUUCCCUCUGUCGGUUAUGAAAAAAAAGCAUGCUGGCAGGAUUUAGGGAAGUGUGCAAGCUAGAGGAUAGCUGCAGACAAAAGAGAGUUUUUCUUCUAAGAACAUCCUCACAGCUGGAGCCCUGGCAGCGCUGCUGUCAGAAUGCUGAGGUGUUAUCUGGCCGGGGCAAGGCACAGUGUCUGCUUGGCACCCUCCUGACACACAAAUUUGGCCAGCACUUGUCAGAGCACUGUUCCCUACCUGCACCCACGUGCACAAAUCUUUUCCAUUCAGUGCCUACUUUUUGGGAAUCUUAUACCCUGCCAGUAUGCUGUAUGCCAAUGAGGAGAGUAAGGGUGGAGGAAGAAACUCUUUGUGACUCCUUUACCUGCUAAAGAGAGACCAAGCUCACCUGGGCUCUCAUGAAUAACAGUGCUGCAGUGGCUCUAGACCAGCCCAAAGCAAUCGUCCCAACUCCUAGGUACCCUGAAAAAAAUAUGCCUUACAUCUCAGAGUGGAGAGACUUAAAGAUGGGUCUGCUGGAACAACGACUAAGUGGGAUGGGAAAGAUGUUCCCUUUUAGAGCCCGCACCCCCAGAAGUAUUUCUCAGGUCAGAUCAUCACCUAUGAGUAUAGCACCAUCUGACCUUGAUCUGCGCUGUGGUGAGAAGGAAAUGUGUGCAACAGUUUGAAUCUGCUCAACUUUUGUCUGUCUUGGACUGGCCCCAUUCAGCCCAUCUCUGCCUCUCUAAGGGGAGCAAGUGCCAGAUGCAAAGACAAAGCCUAACAAUACAACCUGUGUGCUUGCCUUUAAUGUAUCAUGAUGCUUAAAACUGAAUAUAAGCAGGGAUGAUGCUUUAGAUCUUACUCAAAUCUCAGUGUAACUUUGAGGUUGUCAGAUGAUACUGAAGUGAGAGAUCUAGAGUAGGAAUAUUAGUGAACACAAAAGUCAUGAUAUUUACUCAGUUUAUGCAUUUUCUCUUUUUUUUUUUCCAUGAAACUUGCAUAACUGGCGUGUAAUUGUUUUGCUAAGUGAGCCUUGAAAGCAAAAGUCUUGAUAGCUGUCAAAUAUCUUCUUUGUAGUAUAGUGUGUUGUCCUCAGAAGCUAAUCAGUAGAACUUGCUCAGAAGAACUUAAUCAGCAGAACUGAGCACAUUGUCAGUGCUUAACAAAUAAUAAAUUAUAAUAAUAACAGCAGUUCCUUUUGACACAACCUAUCAAACUUUUGCUUUAUUUCAGGGAGUGCCUUCCUUGCCUCUAGUUAAGAUUUAUACCGACUGCCGCUCUGCUUACUACGGUUGAGAGGAUGGGUGAUAUGGCCUAACAGGGUGGAAGUAUUGAUCGAAAUGAAACUUUGACAAAUGGCUGGAACAGAAUCUUGAGAAAGUUCCUUGACUGUUCCUUUCCAUUCAAAAAGAGAAUUUCAGAGUAAAUUUGAUCAGUUCAAUUGUUCAAAGGUAAAAUGCUAUGCUUACAAGUUAAUAGAAUUACUUUUGAAUUUCCCAAGUCCCUUUUAUUUUUUUUAAGAGAUACUCAUUAGGAUUUCCUUACAGAAAGGUGAACGUAUCCAACAGCACAUCUAUUAUUAUUAAUUGUUAUUAUUUUAAGGGGAUUGGAUAGCUCAGAGGGUUGUUAACAGAUCUGAGGCUAUCACUUCUUUGUCACCACUGUAAUUUGGCUCGAGCUGGGAGUUACUGACAGUCAUUUCAUUUUCUGUUUGUUUGGUGGUUUAUGUGCAAUUAGUUGUUGGGUUUUAUUCACUUCCAACAAGAUGUAUAUGCACAUUAUAAAGAAAACCACCGGGUCAGCUCUAAGCUGCUGCUAAUUGUCUCAGGCUUAAAUGGAGCCGUGUCAAUUUAUCCCAGUUGAGGAUCUGACCAAGGAUCACAACUGGCAUUAAUUAGCAGAUGUGUUAUCAGACUCCGCGGAGAUGCCCCGGGUUGAGUGACGGCAGGCCAACACCAUGCACGGUGCAGGCAGGUGGGAGCUCCAGGUCCUCCCUACAGGCACAUUGGUGGCUUCUACUGCUGCAUGGCAUGGCCAUGCCACCAGCCUUCGUGAGAAGGACCUCCACAGCAGGGUGCAGCCAGUCAUAUUAGAGCCCAAGCAAUGCAAGGCAGCUACUAAAAAUCAGGGAGGGGGGAAAAGGAAAGAGGUGUAGUGCUGGAAUGAGUCACCCUGGAGCUCGGUGUGCAUGAGACUGCUCUGCUAGUUCUAAAUGAAACCACUGACUGAUAUUCUGGGGGUACGCAUGCACCAUCUGAGCUAAUACUAGUGCUGGCUGCACAUGCGUGACAGAAGGGUGAAGGAGAUGCUGCUGAAAAUACAGGUACCCAAAGGCCACAGAACAAACCUGGUCCUCACAUUGCUCAGGGAGUAAUAUCCUCAGCCUUCACCAGCUACUGAUACUCUUUACAAAGUGGCUCAAGUUCACAGACCUCAUGCUUUUUAAUGCACUUGAAAACAUCUUCUUCUCGCUCUAAGACUUUUUUACUGUAACCCAGGAAAUGGAAAGAACAGGAGAGUGGAAGUUCAGUAGUAGCAGGAACACAGAAGUCAUAAGGCUGACCUAGACAAUGGGAAGAUGCAGAAUAUUUUAGUAACGUGCUGUAGUAACUGUCACCUGCAAAAUGUCCAUCAGCACUUCUGCAAAUUCUUUCCACCAUUCUCAACAAGAUAACAAAAGGUAAGCCUAGUUGCAGACAUUGAGACUUUGGUUUUUCUCACCUUCCUCUUAACCUCUUUUGCCAAGACACAUCUGGGUCCUUCUCUGAAUAGACACCUCUGGGUUCAAAGCCACAGAAUGAGAUGACUGAGGCUCGGGUGGGAUAUAGAUAUCAAGGCUAGGAAUUCCAGUCCACACAUCUGCAGAGUUCAUCACCUGUAUUUUGCUAAUAAAGAUCCCAAGACAUCUAACAUCUUUCUCACGCUUGUGCUUGUUGGCCAGGCAGUCACCAGCUUAACUGGGCUGAACUGUAGCAAAACCUCUUCAAAAAGCAUCCUGGCAAAGCAUGUGUAACACACAGCGAGGAUUGGGCAGCACAUAACAUACAGCAGCUGUCUUCACUUUGCUUCAAAGUAAAUAUCUUCAAUGCCCACCUGAGCUUUGGGGAUUUCAAGCCCUUAUCUCUUAUCUGCAAAGAGAGCAGGGACUCUGGCCAGGAAGCUACGAGUAUUCAAGGGGGAAGAUAUUUUCUAUACUUCCUGCAUACCAUGUAGUGGUACUCACAUGCAUGUGGUUCUCUGGGAGGAGUUUAAAGCAAUAAGGUGGAGGAUAGGAUACGUUUUCCAUCCCUCCCUGUGCUGACUUAGCUUGUUCUACACUUAGCUGUUUUGGAUUGGCACAAGAUAGAGGAUUUUGUUCGGUAUGCUCACUGCUGUGUAAGGUGUUUCAAAAAUAUUGGCUUUGCAGCCUAAUGAAAAUACAGGGAUUUUUCAGAAAAAUCAGUAGAACCUAUCCUCUACGGAUACGCAGAUGUAGCGAUUAUUGGAGUUUUAAUUAAAAUAGCAGGUAAAAUAAGUAUAAUGGUGUGUUAUUAUUUCAGAGAUAACAACAGAAUAAAGGUGCCCAUUUCUUUCUUGAGUGCAAUUUUCUAAAUGAAAAAGUAAACAUUAAUAUCUUCAGCGAUCUUACUGAUCUUGUACGAUAAUUUAGAAAAAUAUCUCUAUUAGGGAUAGUUAUAUAUGCUUUUUGUUGGAAAUGCAAUCACACAAUAUGCACAUAGCUGCAAUCUGUAGACAGAUUAAGUAAAUUAAAUCACUCAACGUCUUUUUUCAAUAGCUCUGAAGUUAAAAGUAAUUUGCAAAGAAAAUACUCAGUUUCAAUUGGUUUGUAAUAUCUGUUAAUGAUCUUUGGAAAAAUUUCUGAUAACACACGGGAAUUCCCUCAGGGACAGGGUUGUGAAUAAGUGGGUUUUUUUAAGUUUCAGAUGUCAUUAGCUAGUGAUUUCUUUGAAGUAAAAAGCUGUUACGGAAUAAAUUGCAGAGGUUUACGAGUAUACAGGACAAUCCUUUUUGUGAAUAAUAUACUUUUUUUUUCAUGGCACUUUCUGCCCCCAAAAGAAGAAAUUUAAGAUCUAACUUAUCAUUGCAAACAUACUGGAAUCACAAUGGCACUGGGAUUUUGUGCUUACUUUCUGUGUCUUUAUAUGAAUGUACAGUGUAAAUCUCCUAGUUGAAGGAUCUGUUUUGCUCCCUUUUGAUGUAAUUCCUCUUUUUUUUUUCCCCUGACAGAUAACUUUUCGGACCACAAAGCUGAAACACUUCCUGUGACUCAAAUGGCUCCAGCACAGCUAUUUCCUAGAAGACAUCCUCCCUGAUUUCUUGUGGUGCCUGUUAGAUUGCUGAAGUUGCAGUGCAGAGAUAAACCAGAUACCAGAAUAGAGGAACGUUUCUCAGAAGGACCAGUGAGACAUCUCCUGACCUCUGUCUCCAUCUGAGGAUAUAUCUGGAGUAGAGCAGAGAAGCAGAGGCACCACAGACUACAGAUACCCAUGGGGAAUGUUGUUCUGCCUCAAGGUUCAGCUCUACAAUAUGGCCAUGGACCGUAUAUACCCAUAGGUUCCUGUGAGUGGGUGAAGUGGGUGAGGGUUUAGACAGAGGCUGGGAUGAGUCUGAAGGGAUGCUGAUCUGGGUGGUGGGGGACUGGGACUCCAUGGCAUACUGUCACAAAUCAAAAGAUAAGUCUAGUUACAGCCAUUCAGCCUUUGAUUUUCUCGCCUUCCUCCUAAACUAUUUUCCCAAGAACUUAUUUGUCUCAGUCUGCGUUUUCCUUAUCUGCAGACAGGGCUAUGAGGCAUACCAUACUACAAUGAAUAUGGGUACUCACUCCAUGCUGGGCUGUGGGAGAAAGUUUUGCACAGCUCUAGUAAAACAGGUGAACAGCUACAGGUUUGAAAAGCCUCCUAGCCUUCCCUGAACCUCAAAAGGCCCAGUGUAGGAUUCCUCACCCAUCCUGAUUAUCCAUAAGUAGAUCAGACAGCAUCUCAUUUCCUAGACACAAACAUUCAGCGGUGUUCUGCAGUUGCUUCAAGAGUAAAGAAAAUUCCUCCUGGCUCCUACUGAGCAGUCACUGGCAUUGGUCAACCAUAGCACACCUUGUCUUUGCCAGAAGCCAGUAUCAGACAAUAUGAAAGGGAACUGCCCCCUCCUUCCUGUGUAUGUAAAUGUAUAACAGUUUACCACGGAAGAUGAUGCCUUUCUGACUCCAUCUACUGACUAGCUUUUACCAAGAACUACUGACACUAUUACAUAAUACUUGUUAGUAAAACUCUCACAGAUUUUUUCAAGGCCAGGAACAACCAUUAUUAUCAUCCAGUCUGAUCUUCUGCAUAAUAUAUGCUACUGAAUUUAACCCAAUCUGAACUUGGUGUGUAGAUUUGCUUUUAUGUCUCAAAAUGCCUCCUCAUUUACAAAUAUGAUACUGUUUCACCGAGUACUAUCUGUGCAGCAGCAAGUUCCAUUAAUUAACUGUACAUUGUUUGGAAAAGCAAUACCUCUUAUCCGUUUGAAAUUCGAUACCUCUUCGUUUCACCUUGCAGGAUAGGAAAGGGUUUUUAUUCCUUUGCUGCUAAUUAGGUUGGAGGAUCAUGAGGACAAAAUGUUAUUUAUAUUAUAGUCGUGCUUAAGGAGAGCUCUGAUGAAGCCUGGGGAUCCCACUGCACAAAGUGAGGGAGACCGUGCAAUUCCUUCAGGACUGAGACUAUUUGAAUGGACGAAUGGCAUAUUUUCAAAGGAGCUGAACGAUUUCACCAAAACGAAUGUCAGACAAGUCAAUGGAUUCAUACUUCUCAAUCACCUAUACAUUUCUAAAAAAUCAAUCCAAAGUUUGAAGGAAAGAAAGGCAUGGAAAAACAAAGUCCCUGAAGCCAAGAUCAAGAAAUAAGUUUGGUAUGUAGUCAGUGAAAAGAAAAACGUGUUGCUAAUAUGCAGCUCUGUGUCCACUGUCCAUAGGUCACUUUGGCUUCCAGAGGCUCAUGGUCUUAAAGUCCUCCCUUUAAGAGAGCAGGGUGCACUGGGCAAAGUACAAUGUCUGCUGCAUGCACAGUCCCCAGUUCUUUUGCCCUGGGGCCAAGGACAGCUACAUUAUCUCAGGCAACAGCGGUUAUCCAAGUUUAUGGAAAGGGUUCACGUAAGAUUUGCAGUCCCAUGAGGGUCAGUCUGCCUUGAGAGAUAGGCUGGGGUUUGUGUUCUCUCUCUCUUCUCAAGGAAAUUCCCCAUCCUUUUGACUUCUAUCUUUUUUUAUUGCCAUUCUCUGGACUUCUUCUAUUUCUACUUUCUUUUUUACAGGGAUGAGGUGACCAAAUUUGAAGACAGUAUUCAAAGUGAGGAUGUGCCACUGAUUUAUAUAAUGGCAUUAUAAUAUUUUCCAUAUUAUUCUCUAAAACUCUUUUCUUCAUACAAACCCCUUAAGAUUCUUUUUAAUUCUUUGAACUAUAGUGCCUUUUAACAUCUGUAGUUUACUCUGAUCAGAUUUUGACAAAGGAAUAAAAGGCUCCAUUUUUCACAUAGAAUUUUAUUUAUUGUUUGAACUUUAGAGGAGAAAUUGGUUAACUUACAAUUUAAAAUUCUUGGCAAUGUAGACCAUUGGACAAGGAUUUCAUUAUCAGCCCUUCUGUACUUUCUGUAGAAAUGCUUAAAGUUGGUGGACAGAGUCUUGGCUAAAAAGACUUUACUUUCGUACUAUAAACAUAGCCAAAGACUUAGUUUGGAGCUGCUAGCAUCCCCAAAGAUGUCAGAGAUAUCAUUGUUCUGUACCCCCUUCCUGAUGCAGUGUGCUGGGGCCAUGCAUUGACAUGUCAUCCAGCCAGAGUUGUGCGUGUGUGCAAGCGGUACCCAAAUGCCGUGAUCUUCUCUUUACCUUACCACGUACUUCCACAGUAGGUCAGGAAAAGACCCCUCUGAAAAUGAGGUGCUUGAUGACUGCAGAGGGUGAGAAUCUUGCUCUCAUGUCACAGCUGGGCGUGAUGCCUUCAUCAGGGUAUUAGAAAAGGCUCGAGGAAAACAGUUACAUCCAUUCUAUUGCUUAAGACACUUCCUGCAGCUACUGACUCGUCUUAGAGUUACCAAUCCAAAUGCUGACCCUGCCUGACCCUACUUAUCUUUUAAAAGCUGACAAGAUCACAGCCUGAAGCAGUAUAGCCACAGGCUCAAUACUGGCUACCAAAAUGUCUGUUUAGUAUUUUCAAAAACGCUGCUCUUAAGAUUUACAAUACAAGCUGCUGGAUGUAUGGACAACACUGAAACACAACCCUGACCCCUGAACAUUCAGCCCUACUUACACAGAAAUUUGUGCCUCUCGAGGGGCCAGCACUGAGUUGCUGCAAAACAGUUAUUCCCUACCUGCAAGUGAGCUGGAAUUAAAGCAUCAUAGGGUUGUAUGCAUUCAGAUACUGGGUAAAAAUAUUUGAAAACUACAGCCUUGAUUUCAGAAUUCACUGACAACUUCUUUCAUUAGCUGCAUUACUGCUUUAACAGUAGAAAGAGUUCCGCCCUUUUUGUGUAAUAUCUUUUUUGGUUUAGUAUAGAAAAUCGUCCUAAUUCUUCUAUGACCAAAGCAGUUUUUCAUCAGAAGUUGUUUUUAGAUGAACUGUAAGUUUCUUCCCUAGCAGUGAAAGAAGCUCAUAUUUUUCUGAAUAUUUCUAAGGUUAAAUGGAUAAACACAGCUUUAAAUACUCAUGAAACACUAAGGGACCGAUCUAGUUGAGUUGUUUGUGCAUUCAUACAUGAUAUAAAUUCAUGGUUCUUGCAGGUUUUUUUUUUUUUUAACAGCAAAGAUAUGGAAAAGACAAUUGAGGUCUUAUUGCUCCUGUUGGAAACUUCUGCCGACUACAGCAAGAGUUGGACUGGGCCCAGAGAAACCAGAUACAUACAAGUUGCAAUGAGUUGGCCACACAAGCAAGGAAAAUCACAGAUAACGGAUGCACACAAAUUAGUAAUGUACCUUUUAGGUCAUCCAGUACAGCUUGCUGACACAUUGAGAUUGUCUCCUAUGGCAUAUUUUUGGUUGCUUUGGAUGACUGGAUUAAAUGUCCUAAGUAAUGCCAUUUACUUAAGGAGAGAUUGUGCUGCCCAGUAUAUCCUGUUAGAAGUCUUUUUUUCCUUUCUUAACAUCAUCAUAUUUCUCCCAGUUUUGUUCCUUUGCAAACCUCCUUAUUUCCCUUCUGCGAUGCUAUUUUUUCUCCAGUGUCUUUAGACUAAUGUGAUGUUCCAUUUAGUUAACAUUAAGUCAGUUCAUACCUAUUUAGAUCAUUUAAUCUUUUCUGAUAAAUCAGUCCUUUCAGUCUCCUGGUUAUUUUCUCAUCUCCUCUUGUCCCACUCCUGUCUGUCAGUAGCUUUUUUAGCUAUGAUAUUUUAAAGAUGUGGUGCAUUUAUCUGAACUAACGGCAGGUUGGGCACAGACUUGAGCACCCUCAAUACCUUCUCACUGAAAACCACUCAAGGGAAGGCCACUGGCACUCUGUGCAAACAAGCAGGCAGAGCAUUCUGUUCAAACCAUUUCCUUGGUAUCACCUGUUUUACUGAUCAUCAACAAAAAACAUUUAAACAUUUAGCCUAGUGAUUCAAAAACCAAACAUGGGUCACUAUAGAUUAAUUAUAUUUUUUCAUAAUGCUAGGAAAUAUAAUGGCAGAGAGGAAAAUACAUUUGUUGUUGGUAUUUUCAAACUCUUGGUCGUGGAUAUCACAAUCUAAAAUUAUGGAAGAUGUUGUCUUGUCUAGUAACUAUAUUUGGGUGCCACUGGAGUACACUGUAGAAAGUAAUUAUAUAUGUAGUCACAAGCAUAGCUGUUCACGUCAGGCAAUAAAUUCUGAUCAACAAACAACACUCCUUUAGUGCUAAAUGAAAUCUUGGCUGUAAUUGACUGUCUUUACCUUUGUGUUCUGUUGGAUUGGAGGAAUAUCAUUUUAAUCUGCUCUCUUUAAAUUUUCAUUAAGGAACGUUUCAGCUACCUGCAGCCUCGUCUGAUGAUGUUUAAUGAUAUAAGCUAGCACGUUCUUCCGUGCACCAGCAGGGGCUUCUUUAAAUUGGUCAACCGUACAGAACAUUGUUUUCGUGUUUAAUGUACUUGGAAUCAACCUUUUAAAAUAAUGAUGUCUCUACAGACAGUUUAUAUACGUAGCACACACACAUAUGUGCAUGUGUAUGUAUGCAUAUAUACGCGUAAGUGCACACAUACAUAGAGAAACACUGAUCCUAUUCACCUUCUUGAAAACAUUUCAGCUAGUAUUAGCAUAAAUGUGCUGUUAAGUUGGCAGUGUUAUACAUUUUUGUUGGAGUUUACUUCUGUAACCUAAAAUCAAGCAGAUAAGCUGUGAAACUCAUGCAGCUGAUGACAUAACGCUGGGAUCUCAUGAUGCUGAAUCUCAUAUUUCUAGGCAUAAAGGAUGGAUGUUCCUUUCUGGAAUUAUUAUGCUGCCUAUUGCAAUAUAUGUUUUCUUGUUUUCAUGUGGGCACUGAGAUGUUCAAACCAUUAAAUGUAUAUGGUAUAAUGAGUCCUGUGUUCCUUAUUUAUUCUAAAG